UCAUGUUUUUGCAAUUGCUAAUUGUGCUGCUAUAAACAUGAGUUUGCAAGUGUCUUUUUCAUAUAAUGACUUCUUUUGCUCUGUGGAGAUACCCAGUUGUGGGAUUACUGGAUCAAAUGGUAGUUCUCCUUUUAGUUCUUUGAAGAAUCUCCAUACUGUUUUCUAUAGUGGUUGUACUAGUUUAUAUUCCCACCAGCAGUGUAAACGUGUUCCCUUUUCACCACAUCUACAUCAAUGUUUUAAAAAUAUUUAAAAAUAAAAAUUGGCUCUAUAAGGAGUAAUUGUGAAAUAGAGCUGUUGUGAAAUAAAGCAGAAGAAAUGGUAAAGAAUGACUAAAACUGAAAAGAGGCUGUUGGGUUUUGAAAUUAAGAGAUAUUUAGUGACCUUAGUAAAAGCAAUUUCAGUGGACUGGUAAGGGAUAAAAAAUGAUUGUAAUCAACUGAGGUGAAUAAAAAAGUGAAGAUGAAGAGUAUAAACUAUUUUAAAGGGAUUUGGAGGGAGUAUAAACAGGAAUAAAACUUGGGAGAGCAUUUUGGCAAUAUCUGACGAGGGUGAAAAUUCACGUACGUUGUGACCUGUUCACUCUGUUUCUAGGUAUAACCAACAGCAGUGUUUCCCAAGGUAUGGUACAGGGCCCAACUUUAUCAGGAUCACUUUUAAAAAAUGCUUUAGCAGAUGCUAUUCAAAUUGGCAGCAGGGCCGAUGGUUGUGCUGAGACUCGUCACUGCCCGGGCCACUGGGCCUGAGUGUUGCCUUCACAGCCAUGGACGCCACCGGGCGCUGACAGACCUAUGGAGAGUCUGGGUGUGCCUCUUGGGCCUUAUCGGGCCACCAAGCUGGAAUGCCCUUCAGGCAGGCAUGUGUUAUUAGUCCUACUUUACCAGUGUGGACACUGAGGCUCACAGACGUUAGAGGCCUUCUAAAGUCACAUCUACAGCAAGUGGCAGAGCUAGAAUUCAGAUCUUCCUGGUAUGGCCAUCUUAAAUGGAUUCUGCUACUUAUGGAAUGAAGUUACCACAUCUUUUCGAGCAGGAAUGCCUCUAAGAAAACAUAGACAACACUUUAAAAAAUAUGGCAAUUGUUUCACAGCAGGAGAAGCAGUGGAUUGGCUUUAUGACCUAUUAAGAAAUAAUAGCAAUUUUGGUCCCAAAGUUACAAGUCAACAGACUAUCCAACUGUUGAGGAUAUUUCUUAAGAAUCAUGUAAUUGAAGAUAUCAAAGGCAGGUGGGGAUCAGAAAAUGUUGACGAUAAUAAGCAGUUCUUCAGAUUUCCUGCUACUUCGCCACUUAAAACUCUGCCACGAAGGCAUCCAGAAUUGAGAAAAAACAACAUAGAGAACUUUUCCAAAGAUAAAGAUAGUAUUUUUAAAUGAUGAAACUUAUCUCGUAGAACUCCUAAAAAGCAUGGAAUACAUUUAUCUUAGGAAAAUGCUGAGAAAAUAAAGCAUGAAAUAAUCAAUGAAGAUCAAGAAAAUGCAGUUGAUAAUAGAGAACUAAGCCAGAAAGAUGUUGAAGAAAUUUCGAGAUAUGUUAUUCUGAUCUACCUGCAAACCAUUUUAGGUGUGCCAUCCCUAGAAGAAGUCAUAAAUCCAAAACAAGUAAUUCCCCAAUAUGUAAUGUACAACAUGGCCAAUACAAGUAAACAUGGGGUAGUCAUACUACAAAACAAAUUGGAUGACCUUCCUCACUGGGUAUUAUCUGCCAUGAGGCCUGGCGGAUUGGCCAAGAACUGAUGAUAUGAAUAAUUCAACUAAUGUUGGAUUUGAACAAGAUGUAUUCAGAACAAUCACAGAUUAUUUUCUAGAUCUCCCUGAACCUCUACUUACUUUUGAAUAUUACAAAUUAUUUGUGAACAUUUUGGUUAUUUGUGGCUAUGUGAUAGUUUCAGAUAGAUCCAGUGGGAUACAUAGAAUCCAAGAUGAUCCACAGUCUUAAAAAUUCCUUCACUUAAACAAUUUGAAUUCCUUCAAAUCAACUGAGUACCUUCUUCUCAGUCUGCUUCAUAGAGAAAAAAGAAGAAUCAGAUUAUUCUGAGAGACUACAGAUAAGCAAUCCAGGAUUUCAAGAAAGAUUUGCUAAGAAAAUGCAGCUAGUUAAUUUAAGAAACAGAAGAGUGAGUGCUAAUGACAUAAUGGGAGGAAGCUGUCAUAAUUUCAUAGGGUUAAGUGGUAUGCAUGAUCUAUCCUCUAACAGCAAACCAAGCUGUUGUUCUUUGGAAGGUAUUGUAGAUGUGUCAGGGAAUUCAAAUAAGAGGCAUCCAGUGUGUUUCAUCUAUCUUUUCCAAACAUAGAAGGACAAAAUAAUAAACUGUUUUUAGAGUCUAAGCCCAAAGAGGAAUUCCUGUUGAAUCUUCAUUCAGAGGAAAAUAUUCAAAAGCCAUUCUGUGCUGGUUUUAAGAGAACCACUACUUUGACUGCUCAAGACCAAGAGAAGUUGUGUCAUGGGAAAUGCAAGUCAAAACAGCUUUAUAGGUCUCAGAGUUUGCUUUUAAGAAGUAGUACAAGAAGGAAUAGUUAUAUCAAUACACCAGUGGCUGAAAUUAUCAUGAAACCAAAUGUUGGACAAGGCAGCACAAGUGUGCAAACAGCUAUGGAAAGUGAACUUGGAGAGUCUAGUGCCACAAUCAAUAAAAGACUCUGCAAAAGUUCAAUAGAAUUUUCAGAAAAUUCUUUACUUCCAGCUUCUUCUGUGUUGACUGGCACACAGAGUUUCCUGCAACGUCAUUUAGAGAGGGUUGCCAUCGAUGCUGUACAGUUAUGUUGUUUGUUACUUCCCCCAGCAAAUUAUAGAAAACUUCAACUUUUAAUGCGUAUGAUUUCCCAAAUGAGUCAAAAUGUUGAUAUGCCUAAACUUCAUGAUGCAUUGGGCACGAGAUCACUGAGGAUACAUACCUUUUCUUGGUGUGUGCUAUGCUGUGCUAAAGAAGUGGAUCUUGAUGAGCUUCUUGCUGGAAGAUUAGUUUCUUUCUUAACGGAUCAUCAUCAGGAAAUUCUUCAAGUACCCUCUUACUUACAGACUGCAGCGGAAAAACAUCUUGACUACUUAAAAAAGGGACAUAUUGAAAAUCCUGGAGAUGGACUGUUUGUUCGUUUGCCAACUUAUUCAUACUGUAAGCAGAUUAGUGCUCAGGACUUUGAUGAGCAAAGUUUCUACCUCUCAAGCUGCAAUUGCAGAACUUUUAGAAAAUAUUAUUAAAAACAAGAAUUUACCUCUAAAGGAGAAAAGAAAAAAGCUAAAACAGUUUCAGAAUGAAUAUCCCUGAUACAUCAGAAAAGAUUUCCAACCACGGAGAGUGAAGCAGCACUUUUUGGUGACAAACCUAUGAUCAAGCAACCAAUGCUGAUUUUAAGAAAACCAAAGUUCCGUAGUCUAAGAUACUAACUGAAUUAAAAAUCAUGUAAUAGUUGUGGAACUUUUAUAAAUGAAGCCAUAUCUGAGAAUGUAGCUAUCAAAAGGAAGUCUGUUAUUAAUAAGGUAUUUCUAAAUAAACACAUUAUGUAAGGAAGUACCAAAAUAGUUGUUUAUCAAUGUGAGACUCCUAGGAAACUACCUAGAUCUCAACUGAGAGCACAUAACAAUAGGUGAUACCAAAUACUUUUUGUUUUUAACGCAGCUAUGCAGUAAGGCUAUCAUGAUGUGUACUAAAAUUUUAUUUACUUGAAUUUUGAAACCUGAGCUGUGCAUCAAGAUUAAACUGUAAUUCUGUUUUUAAAAGAAAAUUUAUCUGCAUAUGUACAAGUUCUGAGAUAUUGGCUAAUGAAUUAGUUAUUUGGGGUUACUUCUUUGUUUCUAAGUAUAAGAAUGUGAAGAAUAUUUGAAAACUCAAUGAAAUAAUUCUCAGCUGCCAAAUGUUGCACUCUUUUGUAUAUUCUUUUUCCACUUUUGAUCUACUUAUAUAUAUGUGUGUGUUUUUAAAAUAUGUGUAUAUUUUAUCAGAUUUGGUUUUGCCUUAAAUAUUAUCCCCAAUUGCUUCAGUCAUUCAUUUGUUCAAUAUAUAUAUUUUGAAUUCUAAUUUGCAUAGUCUAUUACAAGAUGGGGAUAUAAAAGAAGUAUAAGGCAAUCAUAUAUUCAUUCAAAUACUUAAAGUAUAAUAAAAAAUAAAAAUAAAAAUUAAAAUUAAAAAAAUUUUUAAAAAAUAUACUUAUUUAGCAACUGCUAUGUGCCUUCAUUGUUCCAGAUAUGUGGAGACAAUGAUAAAUAAAACAUAUAAUCUCUUCUAUAAGGUAUUUAUUUUUAAUCAAGGGAGAUACACUUAUCAGAUGCUUAAAAUAACAACACUACCCACUGAAAUCAGGGCAUAUAUAAUCAUUCAGCUCACGACUGACUUCUAUGAUGAUGGAACAGGUCUCUAAGCUAGUGGUUUUCAAAUUAGUGCACAUUAGACUCACCCGAGGAGUUUUAAAACAGCCUAUAUGCCUAGGGCCUAACUUAUACUAAUUAAAUCUGAAUUUUAGGGAUGUUGUAUAGGGAUUAGUAUUUUUUUUAAUCUAGGUGAUUCCAGUAUUCAGCCAACUGUGAGAAUCAAUGUCCUUAAUGCUUUUUUUAAACAUGUUUAUAAGUGUCAAGAUAGUGGCACAUUGACUUUAUUUUUUCAUUGGAAGAAAAUGCCUGCCAAGUAUAAAUGCCUCUCAUCUUAAAACAAGGUUCUUCAGGUUUCUGCUUGAUUGACUUGGUACAAACUUGAAGCAAGUUGCCUUCUAUUUUUUACUCCAAGAUUGUUUGAUAUCUAUUCCUUAAGUGUAAAGAAAUAUAUAAUGCCUGGGUUGUAAUAAAAUCUUAAUGUUUAA
Chlorocebus sabaeus (green monkey) is the source of this 4787-nucleotide non-coding RNA. Lineage: Eukaryota; Metazoa; Chordata; Mammalia; Primates; Cercopithecidae. The record is from RefSeq and is a predicted model, not a curated record.